Molecule: small nuclear RNA, 104 nt
Organism: Lemur catta (Ring-tailed lemur)
Lineage: Eukaryota; Metazoa; Chordata; Mammalia; Primates; Lemuridae
Source: RefSeq, a predicted model, not a curated record
GUGCUCACUUUGGCAGCACAUAUACUAAAAUUGGAACGAUACAAAGAUUAGCAUGCCCCCUGAGCAAGAAUGACAUGCAAAUUUGUUAAGCAUCCCAUAUUAAA